Molecule: ribosomal RNA, 494 nt
Filed under: Enterococcus sp. oral taxon A43
Lineage: Bacteria; Bacillati; Bacillota; Bacilli; Lactobacillales; Enterococcaceae
Description: bacterial SSU rRNA
Rfam family: Bacterial small subunit ribosomal RNA
Source: RNAcentral
GACGAACGCUGGCGGCGUGCCUAAUAUAUGCAAGUCGAACGCUUCUUUUUCACCGAACUUCGGUUCAUCGAAAAAGAGGAGUGGCGAACGGGUGAGUAACACGUGGGUAACCUGCCCAUCAGAAGGGGAUAACACUUGGAAACAGGUGCUAAUACCGUAUAAUGCUUUUUCUCGCAUGAGAGCAAGCUGAAAGGCGCUUUUGCGUCACUGAUGGAUGGACCCGCGGUGCAUUAGCUAGUUGGUGAGGUAACGGCUCACCAAGGCCACGAUGCAUAGCCGACCUGAGAGGGUGAUCGGCCACACUGGGACUGAGACACGGCCCAGACUCCUACGGGAGGCAGCAGUAGGGAAUCUUCGGCAAUGGACGAAAGUCUGACCGAGCAACGCCGCGUGAGUGAAGAAGGUUUUCGGAUCGUAAAACUCUGUUGUUAGAGAAGAACAAGGAUGAGAGUAAAAUGUUCAUCCCUUGACGUAUCUAACCAGAAAGCCACGCA